Molecule: long non-coding RNA, 2441 nt
Organism: Drosophila sulfurigaster albostrigata
Lineage: Eukaryota; Metazoa; Arthropoda; Insecta; Diptera; Drosophilidae
Exons: 2
Source: RefSeq, a predicted model, not a curated record
AUUAGCCGAAAGAAAUUCUUAUUUUUGAAAAAUCAGCAUGCGGUCGCACCGAGCUUUACUGCUGGAGGUUUUGCAUUUUCUUCAGGCUUUAAAAAUUAUUGAAACUGGCCUCUAGUUCUACUACACCUCAAAUGCCAAUUGCAUCAAACAAGCAAACACAGCUGUCGCACUUUCCCUCUCCCCCUGUGAAGUUAACCCCUCUUAUAAGACUUCUAUGCAAGUUAAAUAUCGGUGCUCGUUUUGUUUACAUGCAAAUGGUGUGCUCGGCUGCCGUUUUAUUUAGUAAUGUCUCCAUGGCCACCUGUUUUUUAGGUGCACUUGCACCAGAGACCAAGAAUUGGCCGUCACUUUAAUCCUCUCCCCAUAAAGUAAAAAUAUGAAUCGCCUUUUCGUAGAGAUUGUUGUUUUUUAUUGUAACAGUUCAAUUCGAUUUGUAACGCAUAGUAUUAGUAUUGGAUAAUAUGCACUGCUGUAAAUUCUACACAGAAUGAUAUGCACUGUUCUACAAUGACAAGCCUUUGGCAAACAUAAAAGUCACCGCAUAUUGAGUGUACUUCAACAUGUGCCGGGUUACGGACACGACACCAGAGCACCUGAUGAAGUACAAUAGACAUGGGAGACAUUUGAAUUUGUUUGCUGGAGUUGGGCAAUGUCCAUGAUGACGAGUAUCGUUGAAAGCGUCUGGCCACCACGCGCGCUACUUCAGGUACCUGACUGUGGUGUAGUUACCAAAAACCAGCCCCGGUCACUGAUUAGCGCGCACGGUAAAAGACAGAGAUGGCAAGAAACAGAUGUUGCUAAGUGGUCCUCGCUCGUUCAUUCGUGCUCCUGGCGAAAAAAGAAGCCACACACAGGAAACGACCUUGCUGUGCUGUGUGUGUUGUCCAUGUCAAGCUUUAAGGUUAACGAUCUCUGCAUGUGUGCGUCUGUGUGCGACGACGCCGAUGACUUCAUACCCAACGCACACAAAGAAUGUGGUGUAUGUGUUGAGCUUUUUGAGCGCUGAAGCUUUGUCGCCGUCGUCGUAUUUCUUCUACACAGCCUGUUUGUAGUGAGAAAUUUUGCUGGCUGCUGUUUGACGCAGAUUUAUGCAAUAACAAUACCAAAUUAGUCAUAUGGUUUUCAUUGCCCACCUCAUUACAUACAAACGCACGCGUACUUUGUGCGUAUGUGCAUAUGUGUUCGUACGUGCUAAUGGCUACAUAGUCCACACACCGCACUCCAGCAAAUCGGAUGUGACGUCAUCAGGGGGCAGGCAACAAUUGCGAAAUCUUAAAUUUCUUUUUUGUUGCUUUUGUCGCAGCAACAGUUAGUCGUCGUCAUAUUUGCCAGAGCCAACAGAGACCCUUGAUAUUCUAUAUUUGAAAUGCUGUAAAGAAAAAAGCCAAGAAAACUAAAGUGCUGCGAAAAAAAAUUGUAGAAAGAGAAACAGCAAAGAAAAAAAUAACCGGCGUUUUGUUCGCUGCUCUCUUGCCUUACUCUCACAUUUUCUCUCUCGCUCACUUGCUCUCUGUUACUAAGCGCAGCAGAGCUACGUGCGUGAUCACCGUCAGACACACACACAUGCAGAGAAAAGCACAAGACUCUUCUGGCUGGCAAGUUUUGUAGCGCAGCCGAGACACACACGUGCCCCACUACAUUCGCGAAUUCUCUCCUGAGUGUGUGUGCACAUGAACACAGACAGAGGGCAUAAAAUCGAAUUUGCAAACGCGUUCAAAGUGCUUCGUCUCUCUCGCUCUCACUUGAUGUUGCUCUCUGUCUGUUGCUUGUGUGUUCGCUAAAAAGGAAUUAAAUGAAUUGCCAGCAGCUCUACACUUUUUUUUUUUUGGUUGAAUACUUUUUUUUUUACAACGCCUCAUAAACUUUUUAAGCCGCUCGCACAGAUUGUGGUAUAAUGAACUUGGACUUGCUGCCGCUUAAGUCUCCGCUGCGUGUGUGUGUGUGUGCUUGUGUGCACGAUGUGUCACGGCUGCGGCUUUGGCUGCUGCUGCGAUCGCGAGCAGCUUUUGACUGCCGCGCGUUGUGAAUAAUUGCGAAUUUUGUUCGAAUGUCGUUUUGUCGUGCCCAGCCGAGCAUGUGUGUAUGUGUGAGGCAUUUAAUUGUGUAUGUAUAUAGCAAUGGCGACGAUUUCAGAGACAGACUACCAUAUGUACCAUGCACAUAUGUAUGUAUAAGUAUAAGUAUAUAUAUGUACGUUGGUAUAAUGAGCAGCAGGCUGGCAGACAUGACUGCUUUUAUGUACUUGUGUAUGUGUGUCUUGCUUGGGUGGGGCAUUCCUAACCUCAAAUAGUAACAAUGCGCCGACAACUGCCGAGUGCAUGUCUAUCUGACUGCGUGUGUGUGGGUGCCUGCUCUCUUUCUCUUCCUCUCUCUCUCACAUUGUGCAAAAUGCAAGCACAUGCUUUUUUCAAACUGAGAACGCCCUUAACCCUGAGUUGGAG